Molecule: ribosomal RNA, 465 nt
Filed under: uncultured Klebsiella sp.
Lineage: Bacteria; Pseudomonadati; Pseudomonadota; Gammaproteobacteria; Enterobacterales; Enterobacteriaceae
Description: bacterial SSU rRNA
Rfam family: Bacterial small subunit ribosomal RNA
Source: RNAcentral
CCUACGGGAGGCAGCAGUGGGGAAUAUUGCACAAUGGGCGCAAGCCUGAUGCAGCCAUGCCGCGUGUGUGAAGAAGGCCUUCGGGUUGUAAAGCACUUUCAGCGGGGAGGAAGGCGGUGAGGUUAAUAACCUCAUCGAUUGACGUUACCCGCAGAAGAAGCACCGGCUAACUCCGUGCCGGCAGCCGCGGUAAUACGGAGGGUGCAAGCGUUAAUCGGAAUUACUGGGCGUAAAGCGCACGCAGGCGGUCUGUCAAGUCGGAUGUGAAAUCCCCGGGCUCAACCUGGGAACUGCAUUCGAAACUGGCAGGCUAGAGUCUUGUAGAGGGGGGUAGAAUUCCAGGUGUAGCGGUGAAAUGCGUAGAGAUCUGGAGGAAUACCGGUGGCGAAGGCGGCCCCCUGAACAAAGACUGACGCUCAGGUGCGAAAGCGUGGGGAGCAAACAGGAUUAGAUACCCUUGUAGUC